Molecule: long non-coding RNA, 244 nt
Filed under: Gossypium barbadense (sea-island cotton)
Lineage: Eukaryota; Viridiplantae; Streptophyta; Magnoliopsida; Malvales; Malvaceae
Description: long non-coding RNA (GBAR_LNC006280)
Source: RNAcentral
AGGCCGGCGUAUUGUCUUCUCUAUGCAUCGCACUUUGAUUUAAAUUCGACAGCACUUGGUAUCUUAAGUCUGCCCUUGUUUGGGGUAGUAGUCGAUAAUCCUUACGGAUGCUCCAUAUAUAGGAUCUCUCCACACCUCCACAUACAAGGCAGACUGCCUACAGGCAUUGUACAUGUAAGGCUAACUCAACAAUCUUUACAAGGGCUAAGUUAGUCCCCGCGGUCAAUUGUAGCCUUGGGUCCAA